AGUGAACGCUGGCGGUAGGCCUAACACAUGCAAGUCGAACGGCAGCACAGUAAGAGCUUGCUCUUACGGGUGGCGAGUGGCGGACGGGUGAGGAAUACAUCGGAAUCUACUUUUUCGUGGGGAUAACGUAGGGAAACUUACGCUAAUACCGCAUACGACCUACGGGUGAAAGCAGGGGAUCUUCGGACCUUGCGCGAUUGAAUGAGCCGAUGUCGGAUUAGCUAGUUGGCGGGGUAAAGGCCCACCAAGGCGACGAUCCGUAGCUGGUCUGAGAGGAUGAUCAGCCGCACUGGAACUGAGACACGGUCCAGACUCCUACGGGAGGCAGCAGUGGGGAAUAUUGGACAAUGGGCGCAAGCCUGAUCCAGCCAUACCGCGUGGGUGAAGAAGGCCUUCGGGUUGUAAAGCCCUUUUGUUGGGAAAGAAAAGCAGCAGGUUAAUACCCCGCUGUUCUGACGGUACCCAAAGAAUAAGCACCGGCUAACUUCGUG
This 491-nucleotide ribosomal RNA is filed under the name uncultured bacterium. RNAcentral's name for it is "partial 16S ribosomal RNA". It matches the Rfam family "Bacterial small subunit ribosomal RNA", at positions 29 to 507 of the family's 1533-position model. The record is from RNAcentral.